This 410-nucleotide ribosomal RNA is filed under the name uncultured Methylomirabilota bacterium. RNAcentral's name for it is "bacterial SSU rRNA". It matches the Rfam family "Bacterial small subunit ribosomal RNA", at positions 1025 to 1434 of the family's 1533-position model. Lineage: Bacteria; Methylomirabilota (SeqCode). The record is from RNAcentral.
AGCGUGGAGACAGGUGGUGCAUGGCUGUCGUCAGCUCGUGUCGUGAGAUGUUGGGUUAAGUCCCGCAACGAGCGCAACCCUCACCUCUUGCUGCCACCAGGUCAUGCUGGGCACUCUAGAGGAACUGCCCCGGUCAACGGGGAGGAAGGCGGGGAUGACGUCAAGUCAUCAUGCCCCUUACGCCCUGGGCUACACACGUGCUACAAUGGCCGGUACAAAGGGAUGCCACGCCGUGAGGCAGAGCCAAACCCAAAAAACCGGUCUAAGUUCAGAUUGGAGUCUGCAACUCGACUCCAUGAAGGAGGAAUCGCUAGUAAUCGCGUAUCAGCACGACGCGGUGAAUACGUUCCCGGGCCUUGUACACACCGCCCGUCACACCACGAAAGCCAGCUGUACUCGAAGUCGCUGAG